This is a long non-coding RNA of Helianthus annuus (common sunflower), 767 nucleotides long. RefSeq lists it as uncharacterized. NCBI's taxonomy places the organism in Eukaryota, Viridiplantae, Streptophyta, Magnoliopsida, Asterales, Asteraceae. The record is from RefSeq and is a predicted model, not a curated record. The transcript has 2 exons.
CUGUCUGGAAGUUUUUUUUUUUUUUUUAAUUUUGGCUGCUAAUUGUUCUUGUUUAAAUUACAGAUGUUAAACGUUUGAUCGGGUGCAGAUACCAUGAUCCUCAAGUGCAGAAGGACAUGGAGUCGUGGCCUUUCAAGGUGGUUGAAGGGCCUGCUCUGAAGCCAACUGUUGUAGUGGAGUUGAAGGGUGAAGAAAAGAAAUAUGCACCUGAAGAGUUAUCUGCCCUGGUUCUCAAGAAGUUGAAAGAGUCUGCUGAAGCUUUUAUCGGAAGAGAGGUAACAGAUGCUGUCAUCACCGUUCCUGCUUAUUUUAACAACAAUCAAAGAGAAGCAACAAAGGAAGCAGGAACCCUUUGUUACUCCUUCUCUCGUUAGGACUUGAAGUUCAGGAGAUGGUAGGUGGAAGGCUAGAAAGGGGUCACAUGGAUAUUAUCAUUCCUAGGAACACAUCAAUACCCAUAGACAAGAAGAAAAUAUAUCCACACAACAGCAUAUCAGUAGAUAUCUUGGUGUAUCAAGGUGAGAGCAACAAAGUUAAAGACAACAUAUUGCUUGGAACUUUCUACAGGCCAAAGGAAAUCAAUUUCAAUUGCUAAGACCUGAAAUUGGGGUUUUAAAAAUUAAAGGUUCCACUUACUUUUGGGGGGUUUUGCUUUUGAUAUGAAAUGCUACAUCCAUAUGUAAAACUAAACAACUUAUUUUGUGUGUUCUAAGUACUAACUGUCAUGUGUUGAUCUGAAAUGUGUCCAAUCGAUUUCUAUUUUUAUG